UCUGGUGGCUCAGAUGGUAAAGUGUCUGCCUGCAAUGCAGGAGACCCAGGUUCGAUCCCUGAGUCUGGAA
This 70-nucleotide transfer RNA is filed under the name Ovis aries (sheep). It matches the Rfam family "tRNA". From Rfam's summary of the family: Transfer RNA (tRNA) molecules are approximately 80 nucleotides in length. Lineage: Eukaryota; Metazoa; Chordata; Mammalia; Artiodactyla; Bovidae. The record is from Rfam by way of RNAcentral.